GUUUGCUUUGCCAACAAAAUAAAAUUACAACAAUAUAGUGAAGAUCAGCAUGGCCACUGUGCAAGGAUGACACGCAACUUUGUGACGUGUUUCAUAUUUUA
RNAcentral lists this small nuclear RNA (101 nucleotides) under Sciurus vulgaris (Eurasian red squirrel). Lineage: Eukaryota; Metazoa; Chordata; Mammalia; Rodentia; Sciuridae. The record is from RNAcentral.